AUUGAACGCUGGCGGCAGGCCUAACACAUGCAAGUCGAGCGACCGGCGGACGAGUAAGUCAUGUCUGUGAGCCUGCCUGAUGGGGAGGGAUACCUAAUAGGAGCGGUAGCACCUACUACGUCCAGUCGGGUGUGCCCCGAUGGGAUUAGCUAGUAGGGGGGGUAAAGGCUCACCUAGGCGACGAUCCCUAGCUGGUCUGAGAGGAUGACCAGUCACACUGGAACUGAGACACGGUCCAGACUCCUACGGGAGGCAGCAGUGGGGAAUAUUGCACAAUGGGCGCAAGCCUGAUGCAGCCAUGCCGCGUGUGUGAAGAAGGCCUUCGGGUUGUAAAGCACUUUCAGCUGGGAGGCGUUACCAGCAGAAUAAGCACCGGCUAACUCCGUGCCAGCAGCCGCGGUAAUAC
Molecule: ribosomal RNA, 406 nt
Filed under: uncultured bacterium
Lineage: Bacteria
Description: partial 16S ribosomal RNA
Rfam family: Bacterial small subunit ribosomal RNA
Source: RNAcentral